Molecule: ribosomal RNA, 490 nt
Filed under: uncultured bacterium
Lineage: Bacteria
Description: partial 16S ribosomal RNA
Rfam family: Bacterial small subunit ribosomal RNA
Source: RNAcentral
UGAACGCUGGCGGUAGGCCUAACACAUGCAAGUCGAACGGCAGCACAGUAAGAGCUUGCUCUUACGGGUGGCGAGUGGCGGACGGGUGAGGAAUACAUCGGAAUCUACUUUUUCGUGGGGGAUAACGUAGGGAAACUUACGCUAAUACCGCAUACGACCUACGGGUGAGAGCAGGGGAUCUUCGGACCUUGCGCGAUUGAAUGAGCCGAUGUCGGAUUAGCUAGUUGGCGGGGUAAAGGCCCACCAAGGCGACGAUCCGUAGCUGGUCUGAGAGGAUGAUCAGCCACACUGGAACUGAGACACGGUCCAGACUCCUACGGGAGGCAGCAGUGGGGAAUAUUGGACAAUGGGCGCAAGCCUGAUCCAGCCAUACCGCGUGGGUGAAGAAGGCCUUCGGGUUGUAAAGCCCUUUUGUUGGGAAAGAAAAGCAGCAGGUUAAUACCCCGCUGUUCUGACGGUACCCAAAGAAUAAGCACCGGCUAACUUCGUG